Molecule: ribosomal RNA, 319 nt
Filed under: uncultured bacterium
Lineage: Bacteria
Description: bacterial SSU rRNA
Rfam family: Bacterial small subunit ribosomal RNA
Source: RNAcentral
GAUGAACGCUAGCUACAGGCUUAACACAUGCAAGUCGCGGGGCAGCAUGGAUGUCCUUUCGGGGACAUCUGAUGGCGACCGGCGUACGGGUGAGUAACGCGUAUCCAACCUGCCCUUUACAACGGGACAGCCCGUCGAAAGGCGGAUUAAUACCGUAUGUUGUCAUGUUGAUGCAUAUUUUCAUGACCAAAGGCUUCGGCCGGUAAAGGAUGGGGAUGCGUCUGAUUAGCUUGCCGGCGGGGUAACGGCCCACCGGGGCGACGAUCAGUAGGGGUUCUGAGAGGAAGGUCCCCCACAUUGGGACUGAGACACGGCCCAG